AUGGCUCAGAUUGAACGCUGGCGGCACGGCCUAACACACUGCAAGUCGAGCGGUAACAUUUCUAGCUUGCUAGAAGAUGACGAGCGGCGGACGGGUGAGUAAUGCUUGGGAACAUUCCUUGGGGUGGGGGACAACCAUUGGAAACGAUGGCUAAUACCGCAUAAUGUCUACGGGCCAAAGGGGGCUUCAGCUCUCGCCUUUAGAUUGGCCCAAGUGGGAUUAGCUAGUUGGUGAGGUAAAGGCUCACCAAGGCGACGAUCCCUAGCUGGUUUG
This 273-nucleotide ribosomal RNA is filed under the name bacterium A7(2012). RNAcentral describes it as "partial 16S ribosomal RNA". It matches the Rfam family "Bacterial small subunit ribosomal RNA", at positions 19 to 294 of the family's 1533-position model. The record is from RNAcentral.